CUUGGUCAUUUAGAGGAAGUAAAAGUCGUAACAAGGUCUCCGUUGGUGAACCAGCGGAGGGAUCAUUAUCGAGUUAUUCAACUCCCAAACCCUAUGUGAACUUACCACUUGUUGCUUCGGCGCGCGCUUCGGCGCCGCCGAGGACACUUAAACUCUUUGUUUUUAUAAGCAUUUCUGAGUGGCCGAAAGGCAAAAAUACAAAUGAAUCAAAACUUUCAACAACGGAUCUCUUGGUUCUGGCAUCGAUGAAGAACGCAGCGAAAUGCGAUAAGUAAUGUGAAUUGCAGAAUUCAGUGAAUCAUCGAAUCUUUGAACGCACAUUGCGCCCGCCAGCAUUCUGGCGGGCAUGCCUGUUCGAGCGUCAUUUCAACCCUCGAGCCCGACUCUUUUGAGGACGGCUCGGCGUUGGGGGACGGCAGACUCCCCCCGGCAUCUCGCCGGGGACGCCGCCCCCGAAAUCUAGUGGCGGCCCUCCGAGGCGACCUCUGCGUAGUAACUUGUUCUCGCACCGGAAAGCUCAGAGCGGCCACGCCGUAAAACCCCAACUUUUUUCAGGUUGACCUCGAAUCAGGU
This 573-nucleotide ribosomal RNA is filed under the name uncultured eukaryote. RNAcentral's name for it is "eukaryotic LSU rRNA". The stretch from base 211 to 364 matches the Rfam family "5.8S ribosomal RNA". The record is from RNAcentral.